CCUACGGGAGGCAGCAGUGAGGAAUAUUGGUCAAUGGACGCAAGUCUGAACCAGCCAAGUAGCGUGCAGGAUGACGGCCCUAUGGGUUGUAAACUGCUUUUAUGUGGGAAUAAAUUGGCGCACGUGUGCGCCAUUGCAUGUACCUCAUGAAUAAGGACCGGCUAAUUCCGUGCCAGCAGCCGCGGUAAUACGGAAGGUCCGGGCGUUAUCCGGAUUUAUUGGGUUUAAAGGGAGUGUAGGCGGUCUGUUAAGCGUGUUGUGAAAUUUAGGUGCUCAACAUUUAACUUGCAGCGCGAACUGUCAGACUUGAGUACACGCAGCGCAGGCGGAAUUCAUGGUGUAGCGGUGAAAUGCUUAGAUAUCAUGAGGAACUCCGAUCGCGAAGGCAGCCUGCGGGAGUGUUACUGACGCUUAAGCUCGAAGGUGCGGGUAUCGAACAGGAUUAGAUACCCUAGUAGUC
This 460-nucleotide ribosomal RNA is filed under the name uncultured Prevotella sp. RNAcentral's name for it is "bacterial SSU rRNA". It matches the Rfam family "Bacterial small subunit ribosomal RNA", at positions 338 to 795 of the family's 1533-position model. Lineage: Bacteria; Pseudomonadati; Bacteroidota; Bacteroidia; Bacteroidales; Prevotellaceae. The record is from RNAcentral.